AGAACGAACGCUGGCGGCAGGCUUAACACAUGCAAGUCGAGCGCCCCGCAAGGGGAGCGGCAGACGGGUGAGUAACACGUGGGAACAUACCCUCCGGUUCGGAAUAGCUCAGGGAAACUUGGAUUAAUACCGGAUACGGCCUAGCGGCGAAAGAUUGAUCGCCGGAGGAUUGGCCCGCGUCUGAUUAGCUAGUUGGUGGGGUAAUGGCCCACCAAGGCGACGAUCAGUAGCUGGUCUGAGAGGAUGAUCAGCCACAUUGGGACUGAGACACGGCCCAAACUCCUACGGGAGGCAGCAGUGGGGAAUAUGGACAAUGGCGCAAGCCUGAUCCAGCCAUGCCGCGUGAGUGAUGACGGCCUUAGGGUUGUAAAGCUCUUUCGCUAGGGACGAUAAUGACGGUACCUAGACAAGAAGCCCGGCUAACUUCGUGCCAGCAGCCGC
Molecule: ribosomal RNA, 441 nt
Filed under: uncultured bacterium
Lineage: Bacteria
Description: SSU rRNA
Rfam family: Bacterial small subunit ribosomal RNA
Source: RNAcentral